GCCCGGGUGGUGAAACUGGUAGACACCCGAGACUUAAAAUCUCGUGUCAGUAAUGGCGUACCGGUUCGAUUCCGGUCCCGGGCACCA
RNAcentral lists this transfer RNA (87 nucleotides) under Massilia sp. Its description in RNAcentral is "tRNA-Leu". It matches the Rfam family "tRNA". From Rfam's summary of the family: Transfer RNA (tRNA) molecules are approximately 80 nucleotides in length. The record is from RNAcentral. Lineage: Bacteria; Pseudomonadati; Pseudomonadota; Betaproteobacteria; Burkholderiales; Oxalobacteraceae.